CACGUAGGGUGCGAGCGUUGUCCGGAAUUAUUGGGCGUAAAGAGCUCGUAGGCGGCGUGUCGCGUCGGCCGUGAAAACCUGCAGCUUAACUGUGGGCUUGCGGUCGAUACGGGCAUCACUGGAGUUCGGCAGGGGAGACUGGAAUUCCUGGUGUAGCGGUGAAAUGCGCAGAUAUCAGGAGGAACACCGGUGGCGAAGGCGGGUCUCUGGGCCGAUACUGACGCUGAGGAGCGAAAGCGUGGGGAGCGAACAGG
Molecule: ribosomal RNA, 254 nt
Filed under: uncultured bacterium
Lineage: Bacteria
Description: partial 16S ribosomal RNA
Rfam family: Bacterial small subunit ribosomal RNA
Source: RNAcentral